This 136-nucleotide transfer RNA is filed under the name Thermoproteus sp. JCHS_4. RNAcentral's name for it is "tRNA-OTHER". The record is from RNAcentral. Lineage: Archaea; Thermoproteati; Thermoproteota; Thermoprotei; Thermoproteales; Thermoproteaceae.
GGGCCCGUAGCUCAGCGUGGUAGAGCGGCGGUGGACCCGGCCAGAUCCGCCGAGGCUUUUAACCCGUAGGCGGCGACGCCGGCGGACGUCGUGGGUUCGAAGGGGGAUGGCCCCGAGAGUCCCACCGGGCCCGCCA